RNAcentral lists this small RNA (380 nucleotides) under Histoplasma ohiense. RNAcentral describes it as "hypothetical lncRNA". The record is from RNAcentral. Lineage: Eukaryota; Fungi; Ascomycota; Eurotiomycetes; Onygenales; Ajellomycetaceae.
UAACUCAUGUCUGCGGCACGGGUACCUACCUCCCUCCCCGCCUGCCUGCCUGCCUGCGUACAUCACGCCUAGUAUGUUGCACAAUUCAUUUUAUAAACGGGUGUAAUGUACUGUAUAUAGCCUAGGGGUACAUAUGGGAACCUCGCAGUUACUUCGGGCCUUCCCGCUCCCCACGGGCUGUCGGCCGCAAGCCUAAAACAGAUUACUAUGUGGGGACCAAACAGGUGUUCCCGAUUGGCCAGGAUUGGCCAGGAUUGGCCAGGAUUGGGGACAAAGAAGAGCAGAAUUGAGCUUCAUGGGAUUGAUGGGGUAAGAAUGAAAAAGAUUGGAUGUAUAUGCUUUGGUAGGAAAGUUUGAGAGAUACGGUUUGUAAGAGGGAC